RNAcentral lists this transfer RNA (65 nucleotides) under Dipodomys ordii (Ord's kangaroo rat). It matches the Rfam family "tRNA". Rfam says of the family: Transfer RNA (tRNA) molecules are approximately 80 nucleotides in length. Their secondary structure includes four short double-helical elements and three loops (D, anti-codon, and T loops). Lineage: Eukaryota; Metazoa; Chordata; Mammalia; Rodentia; Heteromyidae. The record is from Rfam by way of RNAcentral.
GGUGGCUCAGUGGCAGAGCUCUUGCCUGGCAUGCAUGAGGCCCUGGGUUCGAUUCCUUAGUACCA